AGUGAACGCUGGCGGUAGGCCUAACACAUGCAAGUCGAACGGCAGCACAGUAAGAGCUUGCUCUUACGGGUGGCGAGUGGCGGACGGGUGAGGAAUACAUCGGAAUCUACUUUUUCGUGGGGGAUAACGUAGGGAAACUUACGCUAAUACCGCAUACGACCUACGGGUGAAAGCAGGGGAUCUUCGGACCUUGCGCGAUUGAAUGAGCCGAUGUCGGAUUAACUAGUUGGCGGGGUAAAGGCCCACCAAGGCGACGAUCCGUAGCUGGUCUGAGAGGAUGAACGGCCCAACUGGAAAUGGAAAAAGGUCCAGAAUCCUAAGGGAGGGCGGAGGUGGGAAUGUUUGGAAAUGGGGGGAAGCCUGAAGCAGCCAAGCCGGGGGGGGGAAGAAGGGCCUUGGGUUGUAAAACCCUGUUUUUAGGGAAGAAAAAACGGCGGAGUAACCCCCCGCGUUUUGAAGGGACCCAAAAAGAAAGCCACGGCUAAAUUUGGG
RNAcentral lists this ribosomal RNA (492 nucleotides) under uncultured bacterium. RNAcentral describes it as "partial 16S ribosomal RNA". It matches the Rfam family "Bacterial small subunit ribosomal RNA", at positions 30 to 507 of the family's 1533-position model. The record is from RNAcentral.